AUUGAACGCUGGCGGCAGGCCUAACACAUGCAAGUCGAGCGGAUGAAGGGAGCUUGCUCCUGGAUUCAGCGGCGGACGGGUGAGUAAUGCCUAGGAAUCUGCCUGGUAGUGGGGGAUAACGUCCGGAAACGGGCGCUAAUACCGCAUACGUCCUGAGGGAGAAAGUGGGGGAUCUUCGGACCUCACGCUCUCAGAUGAGCCUAUGUCGGAUUAGCUAGUUGGUGGGGUAAAGGCCUACCAAGGCGACGAUCCGUAACUGGUCUGAGAGGAUGAUCAGUCACACUGGAACUGAGACACGGACCAGACUCCUACGGGAGGCAGCAGUGGGGAAUAUUGGACAAUGGGCGAAAGCCUGAUCCAGCCAUGCCGCGUGUGUGAAGAAGGUCUUCGGAUUGUAAAGCACUUUAAGUUGGGAGGAAGGGCAGUAAGUUAAUACCUUGCUGUUUUGACGUUACCAACAGAAUAAGCACCGGCUAACUUCGUG
Molecule: ribosomal RNA, 484 nt
Filed under: uncultured bacterium
Lineage: Bacteria
Description: partial 16S ribosomal RNA
Rfam family: Bacterial small subunit ribosomal RNA
Source: RNAcentral